GGAACUUGAGCAUCUGUGGAUUUUUGCAUCCAUAGGGAGUCCUGGAACCAUUCCCCCACAGAUACCAUGGGAUGACUGUAGUUGGUCAUCCCAACGACAGUGGUAAGUGCCUAUGAAUUUUUCCCUAUCCCACUUUGUAGCCAAAUGUUCCAGUGAUCAGUUCUGGAGUUUGUUAACUCAGGGAAUGUGUUUCCUCUCCUAGGUUAAUAGUUACUAAUGUUGCUGCCUGUUUGCUUCCUGCUUUAUUUAGGUUUCAUGUCCUUAGCAAGCUACUGAGUUUCAUGGCACCUAUUGACCAUACUACAAUGAAUGAUGAUGCCAGGACAGAACUGUACCGCUCUCUUUUUGGCCAGCUCCACCCUCCCAACGAAGGCCACGGGGAUUGACAUCGCCCACCUCCGACACCCAGUGGGCGCCUUGGCUGGUGCGGCUGCUGGUCCAGAUGGAGGAAACCAGUGACUUUAUGGGGCUGAGCUAGUAGGGAAGCCCCUGGGAAGGUGCUGCGUUCCGAACCUGUGCCUAAUACAUGCAAGGGCGCUGCCCCGCCCAACACCGCCUUUAAACGCCACAAAUAAAGAGCAUUGUUA
Molecule: small RNA, 587 nt
Filed under: Pongo abelii (Sumatran orangutan)
Lineage: Eukaryota; Metazoa; Chordata; Mammalia; Primates; Hominidae
Description: retained intron
Source: RNAcentral